Molecule: long non-coding RNA, 8750 nt
Organism: Sapajus apella (tufted capuchin)
Lineage: Eukaryota; Metazoa; Chordata; Mammalia; Primates; Cebidae
Exons: 3
Source: RefSeq, a predicted model, not a curated record
UCUCAAACUCCUGGGCUCAAGAGAUCUGUCUGCCUCAGCCUUCCAAAAUGCUGAGAUUACAGGCAUGAGCCAUUGCACCUGGCCUCAACGUUCUUUCAGUUAUACUGGCAACAAACCAGCUUUUGGUGCUUUGAAAUUCUUGCAUUUUAUUUAACACUUCUGAAAUCACAGUGACCAGGAAGGAGGGGAUCAAGGAUUGCCAGCUUUUUAAAGAAAGCCUUGGAAAGCCUCUCCUAGGAUGGCCAUGCUGUGAGGACUUCUGUAGCUUUUGGUUGGAGACUUUGAAACUCCUCCCAUGCCAGCCUUAGAAAAAGACUGAUUUAAUGAAGUCUUUCUGCCAAAACAUUUAAGACCCAGCCACUUUUCAAAGCUGAGUUCCUCUGUAAAGUCACCGUAGGUUCCUGCUACAAAAACCAAUCUUUGUUCUGAGUGUUUGAUGAAUACUGCCAUGUUGUGGUUUUAGAUGUUGGGUUCUUGGCUUUGUUAUGUGGACUUCUGGCUUUGGGAGGUAUUUUAUCCUGUUAGAAUAUUAUCUCUUCCAGUCUAUUUCUCUCAUUUUCUAUAUCACAAACAUUUAAGCGCAUUCUAAUGAAGUAUGCAGUUUAAGAGAAGUUAAAUAACAUUGAAUAAUAGAUUGUCCUAGAUAUAUUUUUACAUACUUGCUCUCACACCCUCCUCAACCCACCCAUUGCCCCAUUUUUUUUUCUUCCAAGUAACCAAGUUCCCUGACUUGGAUGCUGCAUCUUGGACUUUAGAGGUGAAGUCAGAUGACAAAAGAAUUUUCGUGCAAAUUAUAUUUCCCUCAAGUGCAUGUAUGUCUAGCGGAAUGCAAGGCUUACUAGAGGGAGGAUGAAAUUUGGUGAGCCUUAAAGGAAAUGUAAAAAUCCUGCUUAAUGAUCCUGUUAGGUUUUUACACAGAUUAACUGUUAUUACACAAGAAAUUGUAUGUCCGUUUGGAAUUUCUCAUCCUCUAAAUAGCCAGCUUUAGCACUAUAAACUGGGAAGAUUUCUGUUGUAUCUCUGCAUAUAUAAUAUUGCAUUACUGUGAGCCCCAUGGCCCUUUUCCUGAACAGCAUGUGUCUGCAUGGGGCUCAGUUUUAUGUGAGCCAAACAAAUCUUAGACCUAGUUUUUGGGAAUUUAUUAGUAUGUGCAUGUUUUUAUGUUUUUUAAGAGAGAUUUUAGGAUCUAAAGAACUGAGACAUGGCAAGUUACAACAAAGCUUUGCUUAGGGACGUGAUUCAAGGAUCUCAGCCUAAGUCUGAACACUUUUGCCUGUAAAAUAUCCUCAUUCCAGAUCUUGAGGCAAAUUGUCUUUGAUUCACAUUUGCCUUUUCUUUCUGUGGUGCUUGCCUGGUGCUUGCUAACCUCUCUGGCACCUGCUGCCUGUAUACCUCCCUAAGGUGUCCAUUCCCUGCCUUGGAACCACCUGAAACUUUCCUGCUUUUUACAACAUACUAAUAGAUAUUGUUUCAUCGUAUAGGGAGCUGCUCUUACAGAAGCACUAGAAAAUUUCUGUGUUUAUAGCUUAUAAUAAGUGUAGCACUUUAAAAAUUAUAACAAGCAAGGGUGUUUCAUAACCCAGUAGAACAAAAAUCCCUAACGAUGAAAUCUAGGUGUAUUCUGGGAUGGGAUCCCUCUUAUCACACCUCUCUGUUCGCUUUGUGUCAGUAGUCCUAGGAGGUUUCUUGAUGUUCCCAAGCAUCCCAAGGUAAGUGUGCAUACCACAGCGUGCUUUAAAGAUACGGCAUUUUGGUGUAGAGCAUAGUUACAGGAUACCUCUGAUAGAAAGGUGGUUGCAAAACUACCAGGACAUUGUCUCAGCUGUGCCAGAACUCUGGGUAGAUGAGUGUUAGAUUAUUAGCUUUGGCUUUGAAGUGCUGACCUGCAAAGCUCUGUUGCCGUUGCCCUGGGUCCUUGCUGACCUGGCAUCCUGGAGAGACCCUGGUCUUCCUAGACCUAACUCAGGCUGCAGCUGUGAGCUGGGUGCCUAGUGCCAUCUGCCUGGGCAAAUGUAGGAAAUGCCAAGUGGGCUGGCAAUUUUUCGUGAGUGAGGCCUUUGGAUCCUCACUCAGCCAUAUGGUGCUAAAAUGUCAAACUGUUCCUGAGUGUGGGCCAUGAUGGAGAAGGCUAGAUAGAGAACACACACUUCAGAUAAAGAAGCUGCUGAGUCUGUUUAUUCCCCAGCCACAGGCUUAUCACUUUGCUACUUUAACCAACAUGUACUGAAUAGUGCUUAGUUGAUAGCAGGCUACUUGUAUUGUGAGAGGUACCAAAAAAAGAAAAUAAAAUAAUCAGAUGGUUCUUAUUGGCAGUGAUUAUGUCUCCUGGGUCCAUGUAUCUUGUAUGCAAUACUGUCACUAGAGGAAGGUAAAAUGAAGAGAUUCCACCAAUAGAGUUUAAUGGGAGGAAACUACCUUUGAAACUGAAGAAUGCCAAGGAAUCUGAGUCCUCAAAAAGAUUGUAGCAUCCUUAAGUUGUAAUAGCAGAGACAUUGCCAAGCCUCAUACUCUUUUCCUCUUCAGCUUCUUUCUGAUGUAUUCUGGCAAUUGCCCUUGUUGAUGGAUUGACAUAAUGCAUUGAAAAGUUUACAAUCCAUGUAGGAAGAGAAAACAUAACAGGGACUUACAGAUGAUCUCAAUCAAAACAUCCGCAAGUGCUAAGUGAUUGAGACCAAAGGGAAUGUGUAAGUCUAAAAGGGAGAGAGGAGGAGAUGAGUGAUGUGGUUCAGAUGAGGUUAGCCCUGGCAGACUUCCUAGAGGAGAUGGCUGGGCUUGGGUUUGGUCCAUGUAGCUCCUAGUCCCACUCUCAGGAGACUUUACAUAAACAGAUUUUUCUCCUGGCACAGGGUAUCUCACUGGUUGGAAAGAACAGGAAGACAAAGAAUAGAUGCUUAAAUUCCAAGAGGCCCUCCCAUCCCUUAUAGUUGGAGGGCCUCAAACUUCUAGAUGUGUCCCCAAAUGCAUAGAAUUAAACAAAUAUGUCAGAUACAAUUUAAACCUAGGAAAAAGGCAAGUCAUUUCAUAUAUUGGAUAGAGAGUGGUAGCUUGAAAGACUUUUUCACUAAUGGAGCUUUGUUGCUUUUUUAGUAUAAAUACCUUCUGCUUGUCUUGGUUUAUAAAUAUUCAAAGAAUUGCUUUGAUUUUAGUUAACCAUACUUGACCGUAUAUAAGUUCAGCUAUUAUGCAAAUACAAACAGCCAGUUUCAUUUGGCAGUUUUGUGGCAUUUCUGGGAUGCGGGAGCCUAGAGCCUGUUCAUUUCUACUGCUGUGGAAGUCUCGUCUGUGUCUGGGAUUCAGCCCAAGGCAUUGUGAUCCUAUGGUGAAUUGCUUGGAGUUGAAAAAAUCAUAGAGUCCCCUUAUAUCCCUAACUCACCCACUUCCCCCAAUGUUAGCAUUUUAUAUAACUAUAGUAAAAUUAUUUUAGCCACCCCCACUUAUCCACCCUUAGAGAAAGCCUCACACCUAUUCAUAAAAAGACAUGUACAAAGCUGCUUUGUUUCCUGGUACAGCCUGAAUGUCUAAUAAAAACAAAUAGGUAACCAUCCUGUGCUAUGCAAUAGUAAAAGUCAAUAAAUGUCAAAUGUAUAAUGUUAAUGAAACAAACAAGUUGCAGAAGGGUAUAUGCCUUAUGUUUCCACCUAGUUCAGGUUUAAAAGCAUGCAAAGCAAUACUACAUGUAUGCAUGUAAAGUAACAGUGUAAUAAAUUGUACAUGUUUGUGAAUGAUAUACACAAAAUUCAGGAUCCUGGUUUGUUCUGCAGUGGUAAAGAAUAUGUGUGAGAUUUCUAUUGUACUUGAAACAUUUAAUUUUAAAAAUUGAGUGGUAGGCACUCUGGGGAUUAUUAUAUUUUCUAAACCUGAUUCAAGGACUAAAAUGUUUAAUUUUAAAAAUAGUAGAUAAUAAUAAUAAUACAAAAGCCCAGCAAGACCAUUCAUUAGAAAUUCGUUAGUGGUGAGCUUUCCUGAGACAGUGGUGUACGUUCUGAGUUGAAAGGCAAAGGAGUAAGGCUUCAGUUGAAUUCUUGACUCUUCUACAUGGGUUAGACUUUCAACAUGUCUUGAGUUUCCUGGGCCACAUAUUCUCUACCUGUAAAAUUUCCAUGACUGCCUUUAUAAGCCUAACAGAAGUGAAAAUUCAGAGCUAAAACUCUUCAAUCAUGAUGCUCGAAAAGGUGUGCAAUGUUGUUCAUGGCCCUGUGGUCUGCCUGGGUUGACAUCCCGGCAGCCCCGCUUUCUAUGUAUGUGACCUUGCCUGAGUUAUUUAUUCUUUUGAUGUCACAGUUUCUUCAUCUGCAAAAGGGGCUUAAUAAUAGUACCUACCUCAUAGGGACGUUGUGAGGACCACAUGAGAGCCUGUUUCUCCCUCUCCCAUCUGGCUCCCAGACUCAUUGUAUUUGAUUUUCAUAGAGUUAAAUUACUAGGUACCUUAAAUUUGAAUUAGUUGCAAGUAGUUAAGAAUUGUAACACAUUACAUUUUACAUGCAGUAUAAAAUGUUACAUAUUAAAAGUGUGGACUUCUGGCCUUUCUUGAACAAAUAGAGCAUUUAGCAGCACUGGCCCCAAUUGCAAUCUGGCAACUCUGCCGUCCCCUGUAAGUGGAUGUGUCCCCUGUUCAGUGUAGUUUUCAGAACUCUCUCAUGUCCCUUGGACACUGAGGCAGCCUGUUCAUUGUCAUUUAUUGUCCAGCAGACAUUUUCACCAGUGACAUUACCUGUCAGGCCCCCAUUAACAAUUGAGUUUGCAACCCUAAUUUAAAGAGGUCGUAGUGAUGCAAAGAGGGCAUUGGGUUAUGUAUCAAUCCAUGUUCUCCAGAGAAAUAGAACCUGUAGGAGGUUUUACAUAUGUAUCUAUUAUGCCAUUCACACAUAAGGAAAUCCUUGGGCAGGAGUUGAUGUUGCAGUCUUGAGUCAGAAUUUCUUCAGGGAAACCUCAGUAUUUGCUUUUAAGGCCUUUCAACUGAUUGGAAAAGGCUCACUCGGGUUAUCAAGAAUAAUUUUGCCUUUACUUAAAGUCAGCUGAUUGUCAGUGUUAAUCAUAUCUGUAGAAUACCUUCACAGCAAUACCCAGAUUAGAGUUUGAUUGAAUAAUUGGGUACUGUAGUCUAACCAAGUUGACACAUGAAGCGAACCAUAACAGACUGCAAGUUUUUGAGCAGUCCUGUGAUACUGUGUGGCAACUGUACACUUUUCUGUCCCUUAUGGUAGAGGGUUGCCGUGGGAUUGGGGAUUGAGGAUUUUUCAAAGGUGUUGAAUACAAAAAGCUCGGAGAACUUCUGAGCUUUGCAAAUAAAACUACUGUGUCUGUGACUCUGAUUGGAGAGGCAGGAUGUUGGAGAUUGAUGAUGCAAGAUGCUUGAGAAGUAGAUGCUGAGUUUGGUAGUUCUGGGAGUGUCAUUCAGGGUUGAGAAUAGUCAUGUGUAGACUCUGAGUUUUGAAGGAAGAAAGGGCAUUUAGGAAGAAAUUGUAUUUAUGUUUAUUUUACCAGCUGUAGAGCCUCGUGCUAACCAGGUUUACAGGUGUGUGCUCUGCCUGCUCAUGGUCAGGUGUGAAUGCAGGUUCUGAAAACAUCUCCGUUGUUGGGUAUUAAUACAGGUUCUGAAAACAUCUCCGUUGUUGGGUAUUAAUGCAGGUUACGAAAACAUCUCCGUUGUUGGGUAUUAAUGCAGGUGCUGAAAACAUCUCCGUUGUUGGGUAUUAAUGCAGGUGCUGAAAACAUCUCCGUUGCUGGGUAUUAAUGCAGGUUCUGAAAACAUCUCCGUUGCUGGGUAUUAAUGCAGGUUCUGAAAACAUCUCCAUUGUUAGGUAUUAAUGCAGGUUCUGAAAACAUCUCCGCCAUGUGGCUCUGUGUGUUGGAAGGUUGCCAACAAGUCUUAACAGGAAUUCUCCCAAAGCCUUCUUUGAUUCUUAGAGAUUUGUGCAGAGCUGUUAUAGAGAGGAUGAAAGGCAAGGAAAAAGAUUCAUCUGCGUAUUUUUUUUCCUGUAUUUACAAAAUCCAUCAGGUAAGAUUAUUUUUUCUUAUGUGUAUGUUUUUUGUUUUAAAUUUUUUUUUUGUCAGGGUGGACAGGAGAUCUGAAUAAAGCCUCAAGACUUCAUUUCUAUAUGUCUUUUGAGAAUUUGCUACAACUUAAAAUACUGAGUUGUGUCUUGUUUCCCUGAAAAACAAGACUGGCCAGAAGAUCCAAGAAUAUUAAUCUUAAGCAAUGGCCCCAAAACCCAACAGCUCAGCCUCACAGUUUUAAUCUCAAGCAUGUUUUUGUGUGGAACAUAUUCAGCUACUGAUGACCGAAUAUAUCAUCAGCUCUGGGUGUGGUCUGGACAUUGUUGCACUGGAGUGAAGAACAGCGUCCUGCAGGUGAGGGUUAGGGGCUCCAAUAUCUCCACAUUUCAGAGUUCUCUGCUCAAGGGGAGAGCAUAGAACCUUGUGUUAGUUGGUUUGUUAUUGUGACCAGUCUUUUACUUUUGUAUCCUUGGCUUUUCAUGGGAUAAUUCCAGCUGUGUUUUUAUUCUUGGACUAGAUUAUAAACUUUUGGGAGGGAAAGCUGUGAAUCCAGAUUUCGGACCUAAGUUGUUCCAUCUUGGUUCUGUUGGUGCCUUAGCUUUGAAGCCUUAGGGGAUGUCUCAUUUUUCUCAUCUUAACUGCAAGGGGAUUGAGCUGGAUGGUAACUAAAAUUCUAGAGAUACUGAAUUUUCCUUUAAAAACUGCACUUUGGCAAAAAUUUUUAGCUUGGUUGGAGCUCCUCACAGUCCCUUGAUUCUUCUACUUUUUUUUUCAACUAACAUCCACUCUGUUCAGAGGAAGCCUGUAGUCUGUGGCAUGCUACUACCUCAGUUCUCCUGCUUUCUUCAAGCGUCCGAUUCUGCUAUUUCCCUUUUACUGUAAAGAUAAUGAUUUUUACUGUCUCUUUGGUACAUCUUCAUUGGUCCAUUUAGUUUUGUCACCUUGACUCUCUCUCUCUCUCUCUCUCUCUAUAUAUAUAUAUAUAUGUUUUUCUUUUUUUAGGAAAACUUUUAAUGAUCACUGUUAAUCUGUACGGCACUUACUAUUUUGUCACACUUGACUACAGAAGUAUCAGGCUGCCACUGAAUUUGUUAAUUUGAUGCUUUCCCUGUUCCCUCUCAUUUUAGGUUAGCUAACAUGAAAUCCCAUCCUCACCUGUGAUAAGUUUAGACUUCGAUAUUGCCCUUUUCCUAAGCUCUGCCUUAGUCACAUGUUGUCAUUUAUAUUUAAAAAAUUAUACUCUUGAUGACAUUGCUAACUAAUAGACCGGUGGCAGUGCUUUCUGUUGGGAUGAAUGGCUACUGGAUCUAUAAUUUUUCCUUGUAUUAAAUAUCAUACAGAUUUGCUUUGGGAAUUAAUAUCUUUGUUCAAAAGCCUUGACCCUUUUUGGGAGUAUUUUUUGUGCUUGCAACUUGCAGUAGCAUUUUUGUGGAUUUAGUGGUAGCCAGUCUCCACACCAUCUGCAGUUGUUUCCUAGAUCUGAGAGGCCCUGGUUCUUAAUACGCAAAUUGGUUGCAGGAGUUGCCGCUACUGUUGAAGCUACCCGUUUCUUAUGUCUUUCCUGACUCUUGGUACCAAUUACUGCCUUAGUCUGCUCAGGCCACUAUCACACAAUGCCACAGACUGGGGGGGCUGGCUUAAAAAACAAACAUUUAUUUCUCACAGCUCUGGAGGUUGCAAUUCCAAGAUCAAGGUACCUGCAGUUGAUUCCUGCCUGCCUGCAGAGGGGUUACGCCAACCUGCAGAGUUGAAAUUAUAAUGCAAACCCACUUCCUGGCUUGUAGACAGCCAUCUUCUCACUGUGGCUUUUUCUUGGUGCAUGUGCAUGGAGAGAGAUCUUUCUCUGCCUUCCUUUUCUUAUAAGAGCACUAAUCUCAUUAACAGGGCCCCAACUUCAGGACCUAAUGUAAACCCCAUUACCUACCAAAGAGGCCCCAUCUCCAAACUGUCACAUUGUGGGUUAGGGCAUCAACAUAAGGAUUUUUGAGAGACACAAACAUGUAGCUCAUAAUAGGAACAGAGAAUUGUGGGCGAGUUGGGUAUGGGCAGGCGUGUGGUGAAUAGCUCUAACCGCCUGGAGUUGGGAACCACCCUUGUCUUCUUCCUGCAUGCUGUUCUGCCCUUUUGGUAUUCAUACUUAGUCUCCACAUGUCUGCCUGAAUGUGUAAAUUGUAAAAAUUUCUUCGGCAAAUACUUUCUUGGCCAUUCUUCUUCAUCUGUAUCUGAGAGACUAUAACCUAGGCUCUGUAAGUAGAGAAAGCCUAUCAAGAGUAAAGGCAGCAAUUGUCCUUCCAUACCACAUGUAAGCCGAACUAGUGAGAGCCUAUUGCGUCCAUUUUCCAACAAAAUACUUAUGUAGCCAGGUGUGACAAAAUAGUAAGCGCUUUACAGAUUAACAGUGAUAAUGAAAAGUUUUCCUAAAAAAUAUAGUCAAGGUGACACAACUAAAGGAAACAAUAAAGAUGUAAUGAAAAGAUAGUAAAAUCGUUGUCUUUAGAGUAAAAGGGAACUAGCACAAUAGGUGGUUUGAAGAGAGCAGGAGAGCUGACAAAACAUGUUUUAUUUAGGAGGGUGUUGACAAACUGGAGUGGACCCAGAAGCAGACAAAGUUUUAGCAAGUAUGUCAUAUUUAAUCUAGAGGUGGGUGAUGAUGAUGAUUGAUUACGAUCAUGGCUAACAUUUACUGAAUGUUGACCGUGUGCUGCACACUGUGCAAAAGACUUUAUGCGUAUUAUCCAGAAAUGGAUAUUGCA